GGAGGAUUCGCAUAGUGGCCUAGUGCGCACGCUUGGAAAGCGUGUUGGGAGCAAUCCCUCACGGGUUCAAAUCCCGUAUCCUCCGCCA
Molecule: transfer RNA, 88 nt
Filed under: Candidatus Nanopelagicales bacterium
Lineage: Bacteria; Bacillati; Actinomycetota; Actinomycetes; Candidatus Nanopelagicales
Also listed under: 1 other name
Description: tRNA-Ser
Rfam family: tRNA
About the family: Transfer RNA (tRNA) molecules are approximately 80 nucleotides in length. Their secondary structure includes four short double-helical elements and three loops (D, anti-codon, and T loops).
Source: RNAcentral